Molecule: long non-coding RNA, 345 nt
Filed under: Carica papaya (papaya)
Lineage: Eukaryota; Viridiplantae; Streptophyta; Magnoliopsida; Brassicales; Caricaceae
Description: long non-coding RNA (CPAP_LNC000491)
Source: RNAcentral
CACCAUUAAUAUGCCUCAAAUAGAAAAAAAUGAUGGAAAAAUGGGAAUAGGAAUUUCCAUCUAGUUCCACUUGGGAGCAACCAUAUCUUGAAAAUUCACCUAUGUUUUUUUUUUCGACAUUUCUAGUACUCACUCUUCUUGAUUCUACUUCAUCAUUAAGUUAUGAUGAAAUGGAUGCUUAUGGGAAUAACAUUAAGAGUGUCUUAACAAUUUUCAACUACCAAUUACUGGAAAAAUCAAUCUCCUUUCAUCAAAAAGUGAGUUUGUCAUCAUUCUCUCAACCCUACUCUCAAACAGAAGAAAUCAUAAAAUAUCAAGGUUGAGAACACUUCCGUUGAACAAAAU